AGCUUGCUCUUGCUGACGAGUGGCGGACGGGUGAGUAACGCGUAGGAAUCUACCCAUCUGCGGGGAAUACCGGUUGGAAACGACUGUUAAUGCCGCAUAUUAUCUGAGGAUUAAAGAUGGCUUUAGAGCUGUCGCGGAUGGAUGAGCCUUCGUUAGAUUAGCUUGUUGGUAGGGUAAAAGCCUACCAAGGCAACGAUCUAUAGCUGAUCUGAGAGGAUGAUCAGCCACAUUGGAACUGAGACACGGUCCAAACUCCUACGGGAGGCAGCAGUGGGGAAUAUUGGACAAUGGAGGAAACUCUGAUCCAGCAAUACCAUGUGUGUGAAGAAGGCUUUCGGGUCGUAAAGCACUUUAGUCAGGGAGGAAAAUAUAUUUGUUAAUAGCAUUUAUAUCUGACGUUACCUGAAAAAUAAGCACCGGCUAACUCCGUGCCAGCAGCCGCGGUAAUACGGGGGGUGCAAGCGUUAAUCGGAAUUACUGGGCGUAAAGGGUUCGUAGGUGGUAUGAUAAGUCAGAUGUGAAAGCCCGGGGCUCAACCUCGGAACUGCAUUUGAUACUGUCAAACUAGAGUAUAGUAGAGGAGUGAGGAAUUUCU
Molecule: ribosomal RNA, 595 nt
Filed under: uncultured Gammaproteobacteria bacterium
Lineage: Bacteria; Pseudomonadati; Pseudomonadota; Gammaproteobacteria
Description: bacterial SSU rRNA
Rfam family: Bacterial small subunit ribosomal RNA
Source: RNAcentral